GAUGAACGCUGGCGGCGUGCCUAAUACAUGCAAGUCGAACGCACCACUUCGGUGGUGAGUGGCGAACGGGUGAGUAACACGUAGAUAACCUGCCCUUAAGACGAGGAUAACCGUUGGAAACGAUGGCUAAAACUGGAUAGGAAUAUUGAAGGCAUCUUUAAUAUUUUAAAAGACCUAGUAAUAGGUAUACUUAAGGAGGGGUCUGCGGCGCAUUAGUUAGUUGGUGAGGUGAUGGCUUACCAAGACGAUGAUGCGUAGCCGGACUGAGAGGUUGAACGGCCACAUUGGGACUGAGAAACGGCCCAAACUCCUACGGGAGGCAGCAGUAGGGAAUUUUCGGCAAUGGGGGAAACCCUGACCGAGCAACGCCGCGUGAAUGACGAAGUACUUCGGUAUGUAAAGUUCUUUUAUCAGGGAAGAAUGACUUAUGGAAAAAUAAGUGUGACGGUACCUGAUGAAUAAGCCCCGGCUAACUAUGUGCCAGCAGCCGCGGU
This 494-nucleotide ribosomal RNA is filed under the name uncultured bacterium. RNAcentral describes it as "bacterial SSU rRNA". It matches the Rfam family "Bacterial small subunit ribosomal RNA", at positions 28 to 521 of the family's 1533-position model. The record is from RNAcentral.